GGUGGGGUAGUUUGAGAGAAUGUUAGCUUGUGGCGUUAAUGGUGCCAGGGUUAUUGGCUCCCACUA
This 66-nucleotide transfer RNA is filed under the name Barbatia virescens. Its description in RNAcentral is "tRNA-His". The record is from RNAcentral. Lineage: Eukaryota; Metazoa; Mollusca; Bivalvia; Arcoida; Arcidae.